GGUCCAGACUCCUACGGGAGGCAGCAGUAGGGAAUCUUCCGCAAUGGGCGAAAGCCUGACGGAGCAACGCCGCGUGAGUGAUGAAGGUCUUCGGAUCGUAAAACUCUGUUAUUAGGGAAGAACAUACAUGUAAGUAACUAUGCACGUCUUGACGGUACCUAAUCAGAAAGCCACGGCUAACUACGUGCCAGCAGCCGCGGUAAUACGUAGGUGGCAAGCGUUAUCCGGAAUUAUUGGGCGUAAAGCGCGCGUAGGCGGUUUUUUAAGUCUGAUGUGAAAGCCCACGGCUCAACCGUGGAGGGUCAUUGGAAACUGGAAAACUUGAGUGCAGAAGAGGAAAGUGGAAUUCCAUGUGUAGCGGUGAAAUGCGCAGAGAUAUGGAGGAACACCAGUGGCGAAGGCGACUUUCUGGUCUGUAACUGACGCUGAUGUGCGAAAGCGUGGGGAUCAAACAGGAUUAGAUACCCUGGUAGUCCACGCCGUAAACGAUGAGUGCUAAGUGUUAGGGGGUUUCCGCCCCUUAGUGCUGCAGCUAACGCAUUAAGCACUCCGCCUGGGGAGUACGACCGCAAGGUUGAAACUCAAAGGAAUUGACGGGGACCC
RNAcentral lists this ribosomal RNA (603 nucleotides) under Staphylococcus haemolyticus. Its description in RNAcentral is "bacterial SSU rRNA". It matches the Rfam family "Bacterial small subunit ribosomal RNA", at positions 328 to 922 of the family's 1533-position model. The record is from RNAcentral. Lineage: Bacteria; Bacillati; Bacillota; Bacilli; Caryophanales; Staphylococcaceae.